AACAAGGCGUACCUGCGGACCUGCGGAGGGAUCAUUACCGAGUUUACAACUCCCAAACCCAUGUGAACAUACCUAUCGUUGCUUCGGCGGAUCGCCCCGGGCGCCUUGCGUGCCCCGGAUCCAGGCGGCCGCCGGGGGACCUUAACUCUUGUUUUUACUGAGAAUCUUCUGAGUCGUUUUUACAAAUAAAUAAAAACUUUCAACAAUGGAUCU
Molecule: unclassified non-coding RNA, 213 nt
Filed under: soil metagenome
Description: partial contains 5.8S ribosomal RNA, internal transcribed spacer 2, and large subunit ribosomal RNA
Source: RNAcentral